RNAcentral lists this ribosomal RNA (312 nucleotides) under Chthamalus challengeri. Its description in RNAcentral is "partial 12S ribosomal RNA". Lineage: Eukaryota; Metazoa; Arthropoda; Thecostraca; Balanomorpha; Chthamalidae. The record is from RNAcentral.
GUAUUAAUAAAGAAAUUUAGCGGAUUUGGCGGCAAGAUAGCCCAUUUAGAGGAACCUGCCCUGUAAACGAUGAGCCACGAAAGGCCCUACUUUAUUUUGUAAUCAGUUUGUAUACCGCUGUUGUCAGUCAGUUUUAAUAGAAAACUUUCCAUAAUGAUAAUAAUCAUUGACUUCAAGUAAAGGUGCAGCUUAUAAUAAAGUUAGAGGUGGGUUACAAUUUAAAGAAAAAAAACGAAUAAUAAUAUUAAAAAUUAUUUGAAGGUGGAUUUAAUUGUAAAGUUUUAGCAAACUUGACGAGAGCACUAACUUGUG